GAUGAACGCUAGCGACAGGCCUAACACAUGCAAGUCGAGGGGCAGCACAUGCGUAGCAAUACAAUGGUGGCGACCGGCGCACGGAUGAGUAACACGUAUGCAACCUACCUGUAAGUGGGGAAUAACCCGGAGAAAUCCGGACUAAUACCGCAUAAUACUUUUGAACUGCAUGGUUUAAAAGUUAAACAUUUAUGGCUUACAGAUGGGCAUGCGUAUGAUUAGUUAGUUGGUGAGGUAACGGCUCACCAAGACAUCGAUCAUUAGGGGUUCUGAGAGGAAGGUCCCCCANACUGGUACUGAGACACGGACCAGACUCCUACGGGAGCAGCAGUGAGGAAUAUUGGUCAAUGGGCGAGAGCCUGAACCAGCCAAGUCGCGUGAAGGAAGACGGUUCUAUGGAUUGUAAACUUCUUUUGUAAGGGAAUAAAAAGAGUACGUGUACUUUCUUGUAUGUACUUUACGAAUAAGAUCGGCUAACUCGUGCCAGCAGCCGCGGU
RNAcentral lists this ribosomal RNA (497 nucleotides) under uncultured bacterium. Its description in RNAcentral is "bacterial SSU rRNA". It matches the Rfam family "Bacterial small subunit ribosomal RNA", at positions 28 to 521 of the family's 1533-position model. The record is from RNAcentral.